Molecule: regulatory RNA element, 167 nt
Organism: Cavia porcellus (domestic guinea pig)
Lineage: Eukaryota; Metazoa; Chordata; Mammalia; Rodentia; Caviidae
Rfam family: Interferon gamma 5' UTR regulatory element
About the family: This family represents a pseudoknot containing stem-loop structure found in the 5' UTR of interferon (IFN) gamma mRNA.
Source: Rfam
CAUUGUUCUGAUCACCUGAAGAUCAGUCACUAGAAAAGGAAGAUCAGUGAAGUUCUUUGGACCUGAUCGACUUAAUACAAGAGCUACUGAUUUCAUCUUCUUUAGCCCAACUCUCUGAAACAAUGAAGUAUACAAGUUCCAUCUUGGCUCUUCAGUUCUGUAUCAUU